This 575-nucleotide ribosomal RNA is filed under the name uncultured bacterium. Its description in RNAcentral is "bacterial SSU rRNA". It matches the Rfam family "Bacterial small subunit ribosomal RNA", at positions 338 to 916 of the family's 1533-position model. The record is from RNAcentral.
CCUACGGGAGGCAGCAGUAAGGAAUAUUGGUCAAUGGACGAAAGUCUGAACCAGCCAUGCCGCGUGAAGGAUGAAGGCCCUCUGGGUUGUAAACUUCUUUUACAGGGGACGAAAAAAGGGAAUUCUUUCUCACUUGACGGUACCCUGGGAAUAAGCACCGGCUAACUCCGUGCCAGCAGCCGCGGUAAUACGGAGGGUGCAAGCGUUAUCCGGAUUCACUGGGUUUAAAGGGUGCGUAGGUGGGUCUGUAAGUCAGCGGUGAAAUCUCCGGGCUUAACCCGGAAACUGCCAUUGAUACUAUAGAUCUUGAAUUGUCUGGAGGUAAGCGGAAUAUGUCAUGUAGCGGUGAAAUGCUUAGAUAUGACAUAGAACACCAAUUGCGAAGGCAGCUUACUACGGAUUGAUUGACACUGAGGCACGAAAGCGUGGGGAUCAAACAGGAUUAGAUACCCUGGUAGUCACGCCCUAAACGAUGGAUACUCGACAUUUGUGAUAUACUAUAAGUGUCUGAGCGAAAGCAUUAAGUAUCCACCUGGAAGUACGACCGCAAGGUUGAAACUCAAAUGAAUUGACGG